This 450-nucleotide ribosomal RNA is filed under the name uncultured bacterium. RNAcentral's name for it is "bacterial SSU rRNA". It matches the Rfam family "Bacterial small subunit ribosomal RNA", at positions 354 to 796 of the family's 1533-position model. The record is from RNAcentral.
GUGGGGAAUAUUGGACAAUGGGGGAAACCCUGAUCCAGCGACGCCGCGUGGGUGAAGAAGGCCUGCGGGUUGUAAAGCCCUUUCGGUAGGGACGAAAGCUCUCGACCUAACACGUCGGGAGGUUGACUUAACCUACAGAAGAAGCACCGGCUAACUCUGUGCCAGCAGCCGCGGUAAUACAGAGGGUGCGAGCGUUAAUCGGAAUUACUGGGCGUAAAGCGCACGUAGGCGGCUUGGUAUGUCGGGUGUGAAAUCCCCGGGCUCAACCUGGGAACUGCAUCCGAAACUGCCUUGCUCGAGUAUGGGAGAGGGAAGUGGAAUUUCCGGUGUAGCGGUGAAAUGCGUAGAUAUCGGAAGGAACAUCAGUGGCGAAGGCGACUUCCUGGACCAAUACUGACGCUCAGGUGCGAAAGCGUGGGGAGCAAACAGGAUUAGAAACCCCUGUAGUCC